This 387-nucleotide ribosomal RNA is filed under the name uncultured bacterium. RNAcentral's name for it is "bacterial SSU rRNA". It matches the Rfam family "Bacterial small subunit ribosomal RNA", at positions 29 to 417 of the family's 1533-position model. The record is from RNAcentral.
AUUGAACGCUGGCGGCAUGCCUUACACAUGCAAGUCGAACGGCAGCACGGGAGCAAUCCUGGUGGCGAGUGGCGAACGGGUGAGUAAUAUAUCGGAACGUGCCCGGUCGUGGGGAUAACGUAGCGAAAGCUACGCUAAUACCGCAUACGAUCUACGGAUGAAAGCGGGGGAUCGCAAGACCUCGCGCGAUUGGAGCGGCCGAUAUCAGAUUAGGUAGUUGGUGAGGUAAAGGCUCACCAAGCCGACGAUCUGUAGCUGGUCUGAGAGGACGACCAGCCACACUGGGACUGAGACACGGCCCAGACUCCUACGGGAGGCAGCAGUGGGGAAUUUUGGGACAAUGGGCGCAAGCCUGAUCCAGCAAUGCCGCGUGCAGGAUGAAGGCCU